RNAcentral lists this ribosomal RNA (467 nucleotides) under uncultured bacterium. Its description in RNAcentral is "partial 16S ribosomal RNA". It matches the Rfam family "Bacterial small subunit ribosomal RNA", at positions 28 to 507 of the family's 1533-position model. The record is from RNAcentral.
GAUGAACGCCGACAGAAUGCUUAACACAUGCAAGUCAACUUGAAUUUGGGUUUUUAACUUCGGUUUGGGUGGCGGACGGGUGAGUAACGCGUAAAGAACUUGCCUCACAGCUAGGGACAACAUUUGGAAACGAAUGCUAAUACCUAAUAUUAUGAUAAUAGGGCAUCCUAUAAUUAUGAAAGCUAUAAGCGCUGUGAGAGAGCUUUGCGUCCCAUUAGCUAGUUGGAGAGGUAACGGCUCACCAAGGCGAUGAUGGGUAGCCGGUCUGAGAGGGUGAUCGGCCACAAGGGGACUGAGACACGGCCCUUACUCCUACGGGAGGCAGCAGUGGGGAAUAUUGGACAAUGGACCGAGAGUCUGAUCCAGCAAUUCUGUGUGCACGAUGAAGUUUUUCGGAAUGUAAAGUGCUUUCAGUUGGGAAGAAACAAAUGACGGUACCAACAGAAGAAGUGACGGCUAAAUACGUG